Molecule: ribosomal RNA, 373 nt
Filed under: uncultured organism
Description: partial 16S ribosomal RNA
Rfam family: Bacterial small subunit ribosomal RNA
Source: RNAcentral
GAACCGUCCAAACGUUAUUCGGAAUCAUUGGGCUUAAAGGGUGCGUAGGCGGUGCGGUCAGUUGGGUGUGAAAUCCCUCGGCUCAACCGAGGAACUGCGCCCAAUACUGCCGCGCUCGAGGGAGACAGAGGUAAGCGGAACUGAUGGUGGAGCGGUGAAAUGCGUUGAUAUCAUCAGGAACACCAGUGGCGAAGGCGGCUUACUGGGUCUCUUCUGACGCUGAGGCACGAAAGCUAGGGGGAGCGAACGGGAUUAGAUACCCCGGUAGUCCUAGCUGUAAACGAUGAGCACUUGAUCGGAGGCUCCUCCCAUAGGUUUCCGGUCGUAGCGAAAGUGUUAAGUGCCCCCGCCUGGGGAUAUGGUCGCAAGGCUG